GGGGGGGGGGGGGGGGGGGGGGGGGGGGGGGGGGGCGGGCGGCGGCGCAGUGGGAGCUGGCUCGGACGGGGGGGGGGGGGCGGGCGGGUGGGGAGUACGGCGGAAUCUACUUUUUCGUGGGGGGUGACGUAGGGAAACUUACGCUAAUGCCGCCUACGACCUACGGGUGAACGCAGGGGAUCUUCGGACCUUGCGCGAUUGAAUGAGCCGAUGUCGGAUUAGCUAGUUGGCGGGGUAAAGGCCCACCACGGCGACGAUCCGUAGCUGGUCUGAGAGGAUGAUCAGCCACACUGGAACUGAGACACGGUCCAGACUCCUACGGGAGGCAGCAGUGGGGAAUAUUGGACAAUGGGCGCAAGCCUGAUCCAGCCAGACCGCGUGGGUGAAGAAGGCUUUCGGGUUGUAAAGCCCCUUUGUUGGGAAAGAAAAGCAGCAGGUUAAUACCCCGCUGUUCUGACGGUACCCAAAGAAUAAGCACCGGCUAACUUCGUG
Molecule: ribosomal RNA, 492 nt
Filed under: uncultured bacterium
Lineage: Bacteria
Description: partial 16S ribosomal RNA
Rfam family: Bacterial small subunit ribosomal RNA
Source: RNAcentral